UCAUGGAAGUGUCUGGGGACCUAGCUGCAAGUCACAGCAUUGGUGUUUAAAAAUUAAAGGAUGAAGAGAGCAGAUAGGAAAAACAGAAAAAGAAAAGAAAAAGGAGACCUUCACAUGUAAAUUUUCUGGAGUUUAAAGACACAUGACUUCGAUGUUACUGAAGAUUGUGUCAUAAUCAUCAAAUGGAGCUGGUGCCAAAUAAACCAGAUGGAGCUUUCAAUCAACAAACUGCAUUUAUUAUUGAUAUCUGUGGCUUAUUUGUUAUACAUGCACCU
Non-coding RNA from Lonchura striata (white-rumped munia), 275 nucleotides. The record is from RefSeq and is a predicted model, not a curated record. NCBI's taxonomy places the organism in Eukaryota, Metazoa, Chordata, Aves, Passeriformes, Estrildidae.